GAGAAGCAAAGCCGCGAGGUAGAGCAAAUCUCGAAAAAACAUCUCAGUUCGGACUGCAGGCUGCAACUCGCCUGCACGAAGUCGGAAUUGCUAGUAAUCGUAGGUCAGCAUACUACGGUGAAUACGUUCCCGGGCCUUGUACACACCGCCCGUCAAACCAUGAGAGUUGGCAACACCCGAAGUCGGUAGUCUAACCGCAAGGAGGACGCCGCCGAAGGUGGGGUCGAUGAUUAGGGUUAAGUCGUAACAAGGUAUC
This 256-nucleotide ribosomal RNA is filed under the name uncultured bacterium. RNAcentral describes it as "partial 16S ribosomal RNA". It matches the Rfam family "Bacterial small subunit ribosomal RNA", at positions 1244 to 1500 of the family's 1533-position model. The record is from RNAcentral.